RNAcentral lists this unclassified non-coding RNA (265 nucleotides) under rhizosphere metagenome. Its description in RNAcentral is "partial ribosomal RNA internal transcribed spacer region". The record is from RNAcentral.
GAAAUAAACCUGAUGAGUUGCUGCUGGUUCUCUAGGGAGCAUGUGCACACUUGUCAUCUUUGUAUCUUCACCUGUGCACCUUUUGUAGACCUUGGGUAUCUCUCUGAUUGCUUAGCACUCAGGAUUGAGGAUUGACUUUCUGUCUCUUCUUACAUUUCCAGGUCUAUGUUUCUUCAUAUGCCCUAAUGUAUGUUUAUAGAAUGUAAUUAAUGGGCCUUUGUGCCUAUAAAUCUAUACAACUUUCAGCAACGGAUCUCUUGGCUCU